AAUAUCGCGUUGAUGAGAUGAGUAGCUGAUUUUAAUGACUAAAGAGAGUGUCCGGUUGCUGAGAGGACAUAAAGUUAAUGUCAGUGAAGAUGAGCUCGGAGUAUUAGACAGGUUAAGGCUAUGUCUACGAUCAGCAUUCGUUACGAUGCUCGACUUCCUUGAUGGAUUCAAGUGAGUUUUGAGGCAAUCCUUUUCGAUUGUAAACAUAGGUGGCACCACGAUUAAAUCGUCCUUGUA
RNAcentral lists this non-coding RNA (237 nucleotides) under Levilactobacillus brevis. Its description in RNAcentral is "Lactobacillus brevis T-box sequence". It matches the Rfam family "T-box leader". Rfam says of the family: Uncharged tRNA acts as the effector for transcription antitermination of genes in the T-box leader family. T-boxes are found upstream of many aminoacyl-tRNA synthetase genes and some amino acid biosynthetic genes usually in Gram-positive bacteria. The anticodon of a specific tRNA base pairs to a specifier sequence within the T-box motif, and the NCCA acceptor tail of the tRNA base pairs to a conserved bulge in the T-box antiterminator hairpin. The record is from RNAcentral. Lineage: Bacteria; Bacillati; Bacillota; Bacilli; Lactobacillales; Lactobacillaceae.